GAAAAACUAGUUAAAUCUAUAACAUAAGAUCGUCAUUCUUAAAUUACCAAAGUGUUUUUUG
Molecule: transfer RNA, 61 nt
Filed under: Ornithodoros hermsi
Lineage: Eukaryota; Metazoa; Arthropoda; Arachnida; Ixodida; Argasidae
Description: tRNA-Asp
Source: RNAcentral